GAUGAACGCUGGCGGCGUGCCUAAUACAUGCAAGUCGAGCGAACGGACGAGAAGCUUGCUUUUCUGAUGUUAGCGGCGGACGGGUGAGUAACACGUGGAUAACCUACCUAUAAGACUGGGAUAACUUCGGGAAACCAGAGCUAAUACCGGAUAAUAUUUUGAACCGCAUGGUUCAAAAGUGAAAGACGGUCUUGCUGUCACUUAUAGAUGGAUCCGCGCUGCAUUAGCUAGUUGGUAAGGUAACGGCUUACCAAGGCAACGAUGCAUAGCCGACCUGAGAGGGUGAUCGGCCACACUGGAACUGAGACACGGUCCAGACUCCUACGGGAGGCAGCAGUAGGGAAUCUUCCGCAAUGGGCGAAAGCCUGACGGAGCAACGCCGCGUGAGUGAUGAAGGUCUUCGGAUCGUAAAACUCUGUUAUUAGGGAAGAACAUAUGUGUAAGUAACUGUGCACAUCUUGACGGUACCUAAUCAGAAAGCCACGGCUAACUACGUG
RNAcentral lists this ribosomal RNA (497 nucleotides) under uncultured bacterium. Its description in RNAcentral is "partial 16S ribosomal RNA". It matches the Rfam family "Bacterial small subunit ribosomal RNA", at positions 28 to 507 of the family's 1533-position model. The record is from RNAcentral.